UAUCACAAAUAUUCAUGUUUGUGAAUGUGAUUCACAGGGAGUCCAGCACAAACAAAGACCCUUAUCAGGUUUCGCUCUGAGAACGAAGAACGGUUCUUGAAAUCAAAAGCCUCGGCCAAACAACAGUGGGAGAAGCUGAUCAAGGAGCUGGGGCUGGAGGGGAAGGUGUCCUCCCAGCAGGUCUCCAAAAAAUGGGAGAAUUAAAAAAAAAAAGUACACGGAGCUGAAAACUCCCUGCUCUGGGGGUGGGACAGACCAAGGCCAGGAGACCGCCACAACGUGGCAAUAUUAUGAUGACAUGCACGCGGUGCUGGGAGCAAGGGCAGCAAUGGACCCUCCACUCUUGGUGGAUUCAUGCGCAGAGGAUGCCAUCAUCCAAAGUGCUUUGAACGUCGCUGAGCCCAGCACCUCCGAUGCGCCAUGAACAGUCACUGUUCCCUCACAAUGUCAGAGUCGUCCUCCACCAUCCACAUCCACAUCCCCAUCCCCAAAAAGAAGAAAGUCCAACCCCAUACUUGAAUACCUGGUGCAGGAGAGUGAGAAGGAGCAGCAGCGCCAUGAGGAGAC
Corythoichthys intestinalis (scribbled pipefish) is the source of this 567-nucleotide long non-coding RNA. RefSeq lists it as uncharacterized. Lineage: Eukaryota; Metazoa; Chordata; Actinopteri; Syngnathiformes; Syngnathidae. The record is from RefSeq and is a predicted model, not a curated record. The transcript has 4 exons.